RNAcentral lists this ribosomal RNA (471 nucleotides) under uncultured bacterium. RNAcentral describes it as "bacterial SSU rRNA". It matches the Rfam family "Bacterial small subunit ribosomal RNA", at positions 28 to 507 of the family's 1533-position model. The record is from RNAcentral.
GACAAACGCUGGCGGAAUGUAUUAGGCAUGCAAGUCGCACGAACCUUCGGGUUAGUGGCGGACGGGUGAGUAACACGUGGGUAACCUGCCUCGUAGUGGGGAAUAACUCGCCGAAAGGCGAGCUAAUACCGCAUAUAACUCCUGGUGAGAAUCCGGGAAGUAAAAGCUCCGGCGCUACGAGAGGGGCCCGCGGCCGAUUAGCUUGUUGGUGGGGUAAUGGCCUACCAAGGCGACGAUCGGUAGCUGGUCUGAGAGGAUGGUCAGCCACACGGGGACUGAGAUACGGCCCCGACUCCUACGGGAGGCAGCAGCUAAGAAUCUUGCGCAAUGGGCGAAAGCCUGACGCAGCAAUUCCGCGUGGAGGACGAAGGCCUUCGGGUUGUAAACUGCUUUUGUACGGAGCGAAAAAGCUCUCUCUAAUACAGGGAGUUCAUGACGGUACCGUAAGAAUAAGCACCGGCUAACUACGUG